This 751-nucleotide ribosomal RNA is filed under the name Lactobacillus delbrueckii. RNAcentral describes it as "bacterial SSU rRNA". It matches the Rfam family "Bacterial small subunit ribosomal RNA", at positions 64 to 793 of the family's 1533-position model. The record is from RNAcentral. Lineage: Bacteria; Bacillati; Bacillota; Bacilli; Lactobacillales; Lactobacillaceae.
GAAUUCAAAGAUCCCUUCGGGGUGAUUUGUUGGACGCUAGCGGCGGAUGGGUGAGUAACACGUGGGCAAUCUGCCCUAAAGACUGGGAUACCACUUGGAAACAGGUGCUAAUACCGGAUAACAACAUGAAUCGCAUGAUUCAAGUUUGAAAGGCGGCGCAAGCUGUCACUUUAGGAUGAGCCCGCGGCGCAUUAGCUAGUUGGUGGGGUAAAGGCCUACCAAGGCAAUGAUGCGUAGCCGAGUUGAGAGACUGAUCGGCCACAUUGGGACUGAGACACGGCCCAAACUCCUACGGGAGGCAGCAGUAGGGAAUCUUCCACAAUGGACGCAAGUCUGAUGGAGCAACGCCGCGUGAGUGAAGAAGGUUUUCGGAUCGUAAAGCUCUGUUGUUGGUGAAGAAGGAUAGAGGCAGUAACUGGUCUUUAUUUGACGGUAAUCAACCAGAAAGUCACGGCUAACUACGUGCCAGCAGCCGCGGUAAUACGUAGGUGGCAAGCGUUGUCCGGAUUUAUUGGGCGUAAAGCGAGCGCAGGCGGAAUGAUAAGUCUGAUGUGAAAGCCCACGGCUCAACCGUGGAACUGCAUCGGAAACUGUCAUUCUUGAGUGCAGAAGAGGAGAGUGGAACUCCAUGUGUAGCGGUGGAAUGCGUAGAUAUAUGGAAGAACACCAGUGGCGAAGGCGGCUCUCUGGUCUGCAACUGACGCUGAGGCUCGAAAGCAUGGGUAGCGAACAGGAUUAGAUACCCUGGUAG